Molecule: ribosomal RNA, 253 nt
Filed under: uncultured bacterium
Lineage: Bacteria
Description: partial 16S ribosomal RNA
Rfam family: Bacterial small subunit ribosomal RNA
Source: RNAcentral
UACGAAGGGGGCUAGCGUUGCUCGGAAUCACGGGGCGUAAAGCGCACGUAGGCGGGUCCUUAAGUCAGGGGUGAAAUCCUGGAGCUCAACUCCAGAACUGCCCUUGAUACUGAGGAUCUCGAGUUCGGGAGAGGUGAGUGGAACUGCGAGUGUAGAGGUGAAAUUCGUAGAUAUUCGCAAGAACACCAGUGGCGAAGGCGGCUCACUGGCCCGAUACUGACGCUGAGGUGCGAAAGCGUGGGGAGCAAACAGG